GGAAACCGGAGCUAAUACCGGAUAAUAUAUUGAACCGCAUGGUUCAAUAGUGAAAGACGGUUUUGCUGUCACUUAUAGAUGGAUCCGCGCCGCAUUAGCUAGUUGGUAAGGUAACGGCUUACCAAGGCAACGAUGCGUAGCCGACCUGAGAGGGUGAUCGGCCACACCGGAACUGAGACACGGUCCAG
Molecule: ribosomal RNA, 188 nt
Filed under: uncultured Staphylococcus sp.
Lineage: Bacteria; Bacillati; Bacillota; Bacilli; Caryophanales; Staphylococcaceae
Description: partial 16S ribosomal RNA
Rfam family: Bacterial small subunit ribosomal RNA
Source: RNAcentral